This 220-nucleotide ribosomal RNA is filed under the name uncultured Anoxybacillus sp. RNAcentral describes it as "partial 16S ribosomal RNA". It matches the Rfam family "Bacterial small subunit ribosomal RNA", at positions 1165 to 1382 of the family's 1533-position model. Lineage: Bacteria; Bacillati; Bacillota; Bacilli; Caryophanales; Anoxybacillaceae. The record is from RNAcentral.
GGAGGAAGGUGGGGAUGACGUCAAAUCAUCAUGCCCCUUAUGACCUGGGCUACACACGUGCUACAAUGGGCGGUACAAAGGGUCGCGAACCCGCGAGGGGGAGCCAAUCCCAAAAAGCCGCUCUCAGUUCGGAUUGCAGGCUGCAACUCGCCUGCAUGAAGCCGGAAUCGCUGGUAAUCGCGGAUCAGCAUGCCCGCGGUCGAAUACGUUCCCGGGCCUU